Molecule: ribosomal RNA, 497 nt
Filed under: uncultured bacterium
Lineage: Bacteria
Description: partial 16S ribosomal RNA
Rfam family: Bacterial small subunit ribosomal RNA
Source: RNAcentral
GAUGAACGCUGGCGGCGUGCCUAAUACAUGCAAGUCGAGCGAACAGACGAGGAGCUUGCUCCUCUGACGCUAGCGGCGGACGGGUGAGUAACACGUGGAUAACCUACCUAUAAGACUGGGAUAAAUUCGGGAAACCGGAGCUAAUACCGGAUAAUAUAUUGAACCGCAUGGUUCAAUAGUGAAAGACGGUUUUGCUGUCACUUAUAGAUGGAUCCGCGCCGCAUUAGCUAGUUGGUAAGGUAACGGCUUACCAAGGCGACGAUGCGUAGCCGACCUGAGAGGGUGAUCGGCCACACUGGAACUGAGACACGGUCCAGACUCCUACGGGAGGCAGCAGUAGGGAAUCUUCCGCAAUGGGCGAAAGCCUGACGGAGCAACGCCGCGUGAGUGAUGAAGGUCUUCGGAUCGUAAAACUCUGUUAUUAGGGAAGAACAAAUGUGUAAGUAACUAUGCACGUCUUGACGGUACCUAAUCAGAAAGCCACGGCUAACUACGUG